RNAcentral lists this ribosomal RNA (252 nucleotides) under uncultured bacterium. RNAcentral's name for it is "partial 16S ribosomal RNA". It matches the Rfam family "Bacterial small subunit ribosomal RNA", at positions 524 to 776 of the family's 1533-position model. The record is from RNAcentral.
UACGUAGGUCCCGAGCGUUGUCCGGAUUUAUUGGGCGUAAAGCGAGCGCAGGUGGUUUAUUAAGUCUGGUGUAAAAGGCAGUGGCUCAACCAUUGUAUGCAUUGGAAACUGGUAGACUUGAGUGCAGGAGAGGAGAGUGGAAUUCCAUGCGUAGCGGUGAAAUGCGUAGAUAUAUGGAGGAACACCGGUGGCGAAAGCGGCUCUCUGGCCUGUAACUGACACUGAGACUCGAAAGCGUGGGGAGCAAACAGG